RNAcentral lists this ribosomal RNA (408 nucleotides) under Filopaludina bengalensis. RNAcentral describes it as "SSU rRNA". It matches the Rfam family "Eukaryotic small subunit ribosomal RNA", at positions 35 to 424 of the family's 1831-position model. The record is from RNAcentral. Lineage: Eukaryota; Metazoa; Mollusca; Gastropoda; Architaenioglossa; Viviparidae.
UCUCAAAGAUUAAGCCAUGCAUGUCUAAGUUCACACCCUCGUACGGUGAAACCGCGAAUGGCUCAUUAAAUCAGUCGAGGUUCCUUAGAUGAUCCAUUUCUACUUGGAUAACUGUGGUAAUUCUAGAGCUAAUACAUGCCCAACAGCUCCGACCCCGGGCUUCACGGUUCGGGGAAAGAGCGCUUUUAUUAGUUCAAAACCAGUCGGGGGUUUCGGCCCUCGUGCUUUGGUGACUCUGGAUAACUUUGAGCCGAUCGCAUGGCCUCGAGCCGGCGACGCAUCUUUCAAAUGUCUGCCCUAUCAAAUGACGACGGUACGUGAUCUGCCUACCGUGUUGACUACGGGUAGCGGGGAAUCAGGGUUCRAUUCCGGAGAGGGAGCAUGAGAAACGGCUACCACAUCCAAGGA